CCUAACAAAGCAAAUUCAACAAAAGAAUUAAAGUAAAUAAAAAAUAAGGAAGAAGAAUAAAUAAAAUGAUAUCAUCUAAAACUUGCAUAUAGAUAAUAUGUAUACAAUUUUACUAGUUGUAUUUUCGUUUGAGUCCUUGGACACACGCCCAGGUUUUCUUACUCUUGUGGACACAAACAUCUCCUUAAGUGAUACAGGUUCCUUAGUUUUU
This 211-nucleotide long non-coding RNA is filed under the name Nicotiana benthamiana. RNAcentral describes it as "long non-coding RNA (NBEN_LNC023960)". Lineage: Eukaryota; Viridiplantae; Streptophyta; Magnoliopsida; Solanales; Solanaceae. The record is from RNAcentral.